Non-coding RNA from Sus scrofa (pig), 971 nucleotides. The record is from RefSeq and is a predicted model, not a curated record. NCBI's taxonomy places the organism in Eukaryota, Metazoa, Chordata, Mammalia, Artiodactyla, Suidae.
GGUGGGGGCAGCCACACUCCUGCUGCCUCCGCCGCCAGCAGCAACUCCAAUAUUAGCGGAUUGGCAGUAAGGAUGGAGAGGAAGAUAAUCCGGCAGUCGCCCUACUGACGGUUGUGUUCAUAAGACUGGAUUCUGGUGUAUUGGUGGAAGUGAUGUGCUCCACUGGUCAUAAAACUCCUUGGAUGAUUGUCUAAGCUCUUACUUCCCUUACCAUGAAUGCCUGGGAGGCCUCAAGUUUAAGAUGCAAGCAUCAUAGAAUGGAAGGAGACUAGAUCCCUGAGUCAUCUUGUGGAGGAAAUCUACCAAGGAGAGUUGCCCGACAGCGCUGGACUGUGAUAUACUGUGAUAAGAGCUGAAUCUACAUUGAGGAACACAACCCCCAGGGGGCUCCUACCCCUUGGAGUUUUUCCAUCUUGUGGAGGAGUUUGGUGCUAACUCGUGGUAAGAGAAAAACACCAGUGGUUGCUCCUGAUAGGUGCUAUUUCAAGUCUCCAAAUGUCCACUUUAAGAAAAGCAAAAAAUAAUCAUGAUGAAAAAUAAGAAUAUCAUGCACCCUUUUUGUCUUUAGAGAUUGCAAAGAAAUUUCUUAUAGGGAUAUUCUUUCAACUCUUUCUUCAAAAGAUAGAGAAGCCGUUCCUCCCUGGGUAAACGUAUACCCUACGUCUCCUUCUGAAGACAUGCCAUGGGUAGUCUCCCUCACGCUAGGCCUCUGGCUGCAACUGGAAUUUAAAAAUAAUUUAGAAUAUUUCCUUUUUUUGCAAAGAAGCCACUUUAAAAAUACUGAUGGCAUGAGAGGCACAGGGAUGCCAUUUCUAGGAAAUGACUUUUUUUCUGGCUUAACAUUUUUAACAUUGUUGUUAGCUAGAGGGGAAUUAAACAGCUCUGUGUAUGUAUUUACUUUGGGAAAUGUGAGCUAAUUCAGAGUAAGAUUUAUGUCUCUAAUUAAUAAUUAAAAUUUAUGAUCCUCCCAA